UUAGGGAGGAAAUUUGACGUGUACCUAAAGAAUAAGCAUCGGCUAACUCUGUGCCAGCAGCCGCGGUAAUACAGAGGAUGCAAGUGUUAUCCGGAAUUACUGGGCGUAAAGCGUCUGUAGGUUGUUUAAUAAGUCAAAUAUUAAAUCUUAAAGCUUAACUUUAAAAUCGUAUUUGAAACUAUUAAACUUGAAUAUCUUAAAGGUAGAGGGAAUUUCCAAUGGAGUGGUGAAAUGCGUAGAUAUUGG
Molecule: ribosomal RNA, 246 nt
Filed under: uncultured prokaryote
Description: partial 16S ribosomal RNA
Rfam family: Bacterial small subunit ribosomal RNA
Source: RNAcentral